This 65-nucleotide transfer RNA is filed under the name Trichogomphus mongol. RNAcentral's name for it is "tRNA-Ile". Lineage: Eukaryota; Metazoa; Arthropoda; Insecta; Coleoptera; Scarabaeidae. The record is from RNAcentral.
AAUGAAGUGUCUGAAUAUAGAGUUAUUUUGAUAGAAUAAAACAUGUGAAACUCUUCACCUUCAUU